GUGCUCGCUUCGGCAGCACAUAUACUAAAAUUGGAACCAUACAGAGAAGAUUAGCAUGGCCUCUGCGCAAGGAUGACACGCAAAUUCAUGAAGCGUUCCAUUAAAAA
RNAcentral lists this small nuclear RNA (107 nucleotides) under Prolemur simus (greater bamboo lemur). Lineage: Eukaryota; Metazoa; Chordata; Mammalia; Primates; Lemuridae. The record is from RNAcentral.